CCCUUAGAUGUUCUGGGCCGCACGCGUGCUACACUGAGUGGAUCAGCGGGUCAGGUUGCGCGAAAGCGUUUCCUAAUCUUUAAAUCCGCUCGUGAUGGGGAUUGACGGUUGCAAUUUUCUGUCAUGAACGAGGAAUACCUUGUAAGCGCGGGUCAUCAUCCCGCGCUGAAUACGUCCCUGCCCUUUGUACACACCGCCCGUCGCUCCUACUGAUUGAGUGUCUCGGUGAAUUCUUUGAUCUUCUGUCGAUUCAGUUCACUGAUCCGACGGUGGAAAGUUGAAUGAACUUCGUCACUUAGAGGAAGGAGAAGUCGUAACA
This 319-nucleotide ribosomal RNA is filed under the name uncultured eukaryote. Its description in RNAcentral is "partial 18S ribosomal RNA". It matches the Rfam family "Eukaryotic small subunit ribosomal RNA", at positions 1470 to 1796 of the family's 1831-position model. The record is from RNAcentral.